UGCACUGCUGUAGAAGACCCUCCCUUGCUUCCCAGGUCACUCUCAGCAGUGAGAUAUCUUCUAGGAUGAACUCCUGUGAAAAAUGUGGGGACAAUGUUCAGUAUAGGGGCCCGCUGCCGCUGUUGGCUCUCCCCAAGGCACAGAAACCCAGAGGACAGUACAGCCGUGAAACAAUCACUCACGCUUGACCCUGUGCUUACUCACCAUUAUAGGGCUCCUGGGGGUUAUGUGUGCUUGCUUUGGGAUGGGCAAAUUAUGCUAUUGUGUACACUGUGCUUGCCCUUAAGUAUGGGGGAAUUAUUGCUCUGUCUGGCGUGAACAAUGCUGCCUCUGUAAAGUGUUGCAUUUUGCCUUUACAGAUGCAACCUUCACAUUACAGCCGUCCGUGUUAUCACCAGCCGAAAGACUCCAAAGAAUCCGAAAGAAGCCAUGUAGAAGCAGGGAAGACAUGCUGAAUGAAGUAAUGCAGCAUUCAAGUAAUGAAAAUCAAAAAGUGCAAGAGUGGCAGGAGAGUGAAAGGAGGGUCCAGCAGCAGAAUGCGGAUCGCUGGCACCAAAGCACAGAGCGGCUGCUAAGCACCAAACGGAUUCGAUACAGGCGCUCGUAGCAGUGCAGGCGGAGCACAACCGC
Chelonoidis abingdonii (Abingdon island giant tortoise) is the source of this 630-nucleotide non-coding RNA. The record is from RefSeq and is a predicted model, not a curated record. NCBI's taxonomy places the organism in Eukaryota, Metazoa, Chordata, Testudines, Testudinidae.